GACGAACCGUACGAACGUUAUUCGGAAUCACUGGGCUUAAAGGGUGCGUAGGCUGCGCAGCAAGUUGGGUGUGAAAUCCCUCGGCUUAACCGAGGAACUGCGCCCAAAACUGCUGUGCUCGAGGGAGAUAGAGGUGAGCGGAACUUAGGGUGGAGCGGUGAAAUGCGUUGAUAUCCUAAGGGACACCGGUGGCGAAAGCGGCUACACUGGAUCUCUUCUGACGCUGAGGCACGAAAGCUAGGGUAGCGAACGGG
This 254-nucleotide ribosomal RNA is filed under the name uncultured bacterium. RNAcentral's name for it is "partial 16S ribosomal RNA". It matches the Rfam family "Bacterial small subunit ribosomal RNA", at positions 524 to 776 of the family's 1533-position model. The record is from RNAcentral.